UGUCUCUCUCGCUUCUCUGUGUAGGUUUCAAUACGGUCCAUCCCCCUGCUGGUCCCCGUCGUUGUUGGGGGGGGGCUUAGCCCCCGUCCUCGUUUUUACUGACUGGUUACAUUGCCAUAAUGGAGCGUCCCAUAAUAGCAGCAGCGCUGUGCUGUCCAAAUAUGUAUUAGGAGCCUAACUUCAGACACCUAGGAGCCAAAAGCCCAGAGAUGAAUGACACCGAAACACAAAACGGACAGCGUGUCAACUCAGUCUGUCUCAGCUUCAGCGGGAAGGAUCCAGACCUUCUGUUGUGAUGUUGGAAGCUCACAGGAGGAACUCAGAUAUGCUGUUACUCAGUCUUGUUUCACUACUGCACUGAUGCAGGGGAGAUGGAAGAAGUACAGAGGCCAGCAGACAGGUGAGUAGCUAGAUGCAUAUGGUGAUGGUGUGGCUGAGUUGUCUAUAAGCUUGCCCCUCAAAACACUGCCCGGAGUCAGAUGGGGUCUAGUCUCUGACUCCCUGUUUGUGAAGAGGGGUGACUCAAAGUCUCAUCUGGAUGAGGGAGAUCACAGAGAACUCCGAGGGAGGAAUUGUCCUUGAGGUGCAUAUUUCUUCAGUCUUUAUGCUGGAAAUUUGCACUGAGAAAGCUGUCCAGAGUUAGGGAGGGGUGGCAUUUGUAAACUUAGAUAAAAUACUGUUUUUGUAAAAAUCAGUCAAGCCCUGGGAAGUGGGUCAUUCUUGAUUUUCAAGGACAUAUAGCCACACUAUUCAAGGAGCUGUUUAGUUUCAGAGUAGGAGUGGAUGGCAUGCUUGUAGCACAGGAACAAAGUGGUGUCUGCAGUGAAGUGUUUGCAGUUCGUGUUCAUGACAUGAAUAAGUCUGUUUUCGAAGUCUUUGAUUCUACCCUUGAACAUCUAACCUGAAAUCAUUAUGUGCAAUUAUGGGUUGUACCAUGUCACCUUCUAAAAUCAAGGUCCUGAGUUCUUACAGAGCAGAAUAGAUGAAUAGUGAUUUGCUGCAAGUCACUUAACUUCUUUAAUUUCUGUAAAUGGAAAUGAUAAAACCUAUGAUAGUGAUGUAUGGAUGGAAAGCACAUAAAGCUGUUAAGCAUUGUGAAUACUUAUUAUCUUUGUUUCUGCACUCUCAGCUUUGUAGAAUACCUUCUGUUUGGUGUUGAGAAGUGCCAUAAAUUCAGACCUGGAUCCUGGAACAUGCUCAGUUCAAGAUUUCUCUUAGAAGUGCAUUCAACUCCCAUUGAUUCAGUGUUGCGGGUUCUCUGCACCUCAGAGUGGGAGGUCUCAAGUUUGUAUUACAAAGACCAUUUUGGUUUGGAAGACAUUUUUGGCCUGGCACAAUAAUUUAGUUUUAUUUUAUGUGGGCUUAUCUUGUGAGAUUUUAUCUGCUUAGCUCACUGAUUCACUCUUUUAUAGGUCUGAUACUGCUGUUGUUUCACAGCCUGGAAUACUAUGGCUGAAACAUAUUAUAAAAUUAAAUGUAUUAUUGACCUGCUGUAUUUCUUUUUCUUUGUUCAAAUUACCUGUAUAG
This is a long non-coding RNA of Chelonia mydas (Green sea turtle), 1527 nucleotides long. RefSeq lists it as uncharacterized. The transcript is spliced from 4 exons. The record is from RefSeq and is a predicted model, not a curated record. NCBI's taxonomy places the organism in Eukaryota, Metazoa, Chordata, Testudines, Cheloniidae.